This 914-nucleotide long non-coding RNA is filed under the name Sinocyclocheilus grahami. RNAcentral's name for it is "lncRNA (ENSSGRG00000022965.1)". Lineage: Eukaryota; Metazoa; Chordata; Actinopteri; Cypriniformes; Cyprinidae. The record is from RNAcentral.
GCGGAGAGCUGGGAGUCUGUCUCUCUCUAUGUCCUGACCAGUCCCAUGAGCAGUGGACGCAGUAUAUGGAGUUGGAGUUCAGCGGCAAAGAGCAUCAAGGAAGCAUUACCACAUCACUCACAGUUCAGCUCUCCGACGUUGCCCUGACCUCCUGAACCUUGACUUUACCUGACCUCUCUUUAGACUCUCGGUUUAACCAGCUCAGCGUCUCUCAGUAUCAGAGCACUAUGGAAUCCCAAUGAGCUCUGAUGACACAGGAGUAGAAUUGUACAGGACGUAUUCAGACAAACAUCCCUACGCCAUUCCUAAUUCUCAGUUCCUCCUCUUCGGCACGUCGGACAGAGGAUGUGGAGAGGAGCGAGGGGUGAGGAAUGUGAGAAGAGAGGAGGAGUGGGAACGAGGGGGCACUUUGAGCUUCAUCAGAAGUUGAGCUGGAAGAGGAAGCCGCCAAUGUGGGGAAAUAAACAGAGUCUGAAGUGGCUUAACCAGCCUUCAGCGUGGGAACCCCAUAUAACUGAUGGCCGAGUGUGGAGGAUAGCCGUGUUCUGGUUCUGAAUGAUACCUUUGGGCUAAAGCGGGAAACCGUGGACAUAUCUCUCCAUCUGCUUCCCUGUGACAUCAAAGGAAAGCCUUGGAUUCUACGGCCUAUAUAUAAAACCUGCAGGAAGACAUGUGUUAUUCUGGCUCUCUUCCUGUAACCUAAGGCUGAUCUUGAGCGCUCUUUUUCUCAUUCUCUCUCACUUUGUGUUGCUUUAUUCUCGCCGGUCUGUGCUGAAGUUGACCCUCUGAUGACUAAAUGCAGUCAUUUUUGUGGUCCUGUGGGCCUUUCCUGUUAUUUAGACAUGGACAGGACAUCUAGAGAUUAAAGAGAAAGCUCACCUAAAAAUGAAAACUGUGUCAUCAUUUAUUUAGCA